AUGUCCGGAGCCCUUGAUGUCCUGCAAAUGAAGGAGGAGGAUGUCCUUAAGUUCCUUGCAGCAGGAACCCACUUAGGUGGCACCAAUCUUGACUUCCAGAUGGAACAGUACUGGAGCGCUCAGCCUGCCACGGAAGACUGGUCUGCAGCUCCCACUGCUCAGGCCACUGAAUGGGUAGGAGCAACCACUGACUGGUCUUAA
RNAcentral lists this long non-coding RNA (201 nucleotides) under Homo sapiens (human). RNAcentral describes it as "HSALNT0150524". The record is from RNAcentral. Lineage: Eukaryota; Metazoa; Chordata; Mammalia; Primates; Hominidae.